AUGUUGUCGGAGCGGACUCGACUCUGGCGCAGAAAUAAAUACACCCCGCGCGAAAACGCACAGCUGGGACGCGCAGCCGAGAGAACGCUUAGCUGAUAAGAGACAAAGUGUGCGGCCCCUCCCAUGUGGACCAGAAGACAAGGCGGGAAAGCGUAAAUACAUAGUUAGAAAUAAAUAUAUAUUUAUAUAUAUAUUAAAAAAAAAAAAAGAAAAAAAAAGAUAAUUUAUUGCUUCUGUUAUGAUUGCGGUCCGGAGAUUAGUUUUUUUUUCUUUUUCAUGGUGAUUAAUUGUUAUAGUUGAAGGCUGAUGUGCUGAGUUUGCACGGAGAUGGAUUGGAAAGUUCAGUCAUGGUGCAAGUGCAGAGACACGGAGGAAAACAGGUGUACAAUUCCUUGAAUUCAAAUUACUGGAGACGAAACAUCUUUUACUGAAGCCUUCAAGCUCAGGAUGCCGAGCGGUAAAUGCCAACUACCCAUGAUGCCCAGCCUAAGGAUAGCGGUACUGCUGGCAAGAUCCCAGUUAAAUGAGUCUGGUCAUGAACCUGGAUGAGACGCGAGUAUGGAGUUUGCUUAAGCAGGGCUGAGAUGACCUCAUGACCCUUACCCUGGAUCCUGGUUUUCCCACCCUGUGAAAAGAACCCCAUGAGGAACCUCAUCAUACCAGCUGUCCUCGUCUCGGCUCCAGAGCUGUAUUGAUGUUAGCAUGUGGAUGAUGCUGAGCUGCUUCACCUCAUCGCCUUUGUCUGAGGAGCUGAAUUUGCCUGAUUGAUUUGCCAAUUUAAAAAGAAAAAAACUAAACCAGAGCUGAUAUUUUUACUUGAAGAGUAUAUUAUUGUAUAUUUUCUGUAAUGAAAAAUGGAGACAAGUUACAAAUAUUGUAGACUGGCUGGAGUCCACCACAAUGUACAUCUAAAGCUCAUCUCUAUUAGCAGCAUAGUUUUUCUGUUUUCAUCUGCUCUACUGCACAUCUCCGAAGAUCUACACAUUUAGACCUGAGUAUAUUGUAACCAACUAUGCCAAGUCUGUAUCAGUAAAAAAAACCCUCUGAAAUCUGUCUCGUGUGUUGUUAUAAAAUAUUCUGGAUCACAUAACAUCAGAAUCUUUUACUAUUAAAGUCUUCAGGCAUGUAAUAUGCUGUAAGUACAGUGUCUCUAUUAAAGCAACUUUUAAAAAACUGCUAGUUUUUCUGUUACUUCAUUUAUAAAGUCUUGCUCGGACUGUAGAGCAGCAGUAUGAUGUGUGACGCAGGUGCUACAGUAACCCUGCACGUGUAUUCAGGUUAGGUUCGGUUCAACUUGAUUGUACUCGUACUUUGACAAUGACAGAGUAAAAUAAAAUGAAAAUACGAGUACAGAGUAAAAUGAAAUGCAGUUAGCAACCAACCAGUAGUUAAAAUAGCAAAUAAGUUAUAUGAGAUAAUAAGGUUAUGGUGCAAUAAGUUAAGAUAACAGUGUACACGUAAAGGUAAACAGUAUGAAGCAUACCAGUAAUGCAAAUGGCAAUUAAGUUAAAUGAAAUAAAUAAGAAUUAUGGUGCAAUAAACAGUUGAGAUAAACAGUAUACAGGUAGAGGUAAACAGCAUGAUGCAUGCAGAUGUGCAAAUAGCAAUAAUGUGCAAAUAACAGUCUGAUAUGAAUAACUAGUAAUGACAGAUAAUUGCAGAUGAUGGCAGUAAUGUACAAUACAGUGUACUAGGGCGUCUGAUUUUACUGUUUAGGUAUUAGGUGGAGGCUGGUAGUUAAUGCUUAGAAGCUGAGUUCAGCAUGAGUACAGCUGAAGGGAUAAAGCUGUUCAUGAGUCAUUUUAUGAAUAUUUGGUAUCUAAUCAGCAGCAAAGCACAUAUUACACACACGUAUUACAUUUUUCCUCCUUUAGGGUAAAUUGGCCUUAUUUUUUUCUCUAUAUUUAAAGAGUCUGCGUUUCAUCUAAGCCGAGAAGGUAGCAAGAGUAUACAGGUAAGCAAAUUAAGGUUGUUAUAAAAUUAUAAAAAAUAAUGUUAAAUUGUGAUUAAAUGUUAUGUAAAUAUUGCAAAAAAUGAAAAUAUCACCCUGUGCCUUAUUAGAGUACACUGAUCAGCCAUAACAUUAAAACCACUGACAGGCGAAGUGAAUAACACUGAUUAUCUCGUGACAAUGGCACCUGUCAAGGGGUGGGAUAUAUUAGGCAGUAAGUGAACAGUCAGUUCUCAAAGUUGAUGUGUUGGAAGCAGGAAGAAUGGGCAAGCAUACGGAUAUGAGCGACUUUGACAACGGCCAAAUUGUGAUGGAUAGAUGACUGGGUCUGAGAAGCUCCAAAAUGGCAGGUCUUGUGGGGUGUUCCUGGUAUGCAGUGGUUAGUACCUACCAAAAGUGGUCCAAGGAAGGAAAACUGGUGAACCGGCGACAAGUCAUGGGCGCCCAUGGCUCACUGAUGUGUGUGGGGAGCAAAGGCUAGCCCGUCUUUCCCGAUCCCACAGAAGAGCUACUGUAGCACAAGUUGCUGAAAAAGUUCAUGCUGGGUAUGACAGAACAUUGUUAGAACACAUAGUUGUAAAAUGUGGUUAAUGUAGCCUUCCUGUCAGCUCAAAGCAGCCUGAAGCUCUUGACCUGUAUCUGCAUGAUUUUAUGUAUCGUGCUGCUACUACAUGAUUGGUUAACUACAUAACUACAGAAAUGAGCAGGGGUAUGGGUGUUCCUAAUAUAGUGGCCAGUGUAUUUUUAGGCUUGUAUUAUUUUUAUGGUUGGCCAAUUAACACAUCAUGCCAUGCAAUUCUCAAACGUUCUUAUCAUCAUUGUUUUUUACUCACAUAAACAAAUGGUGUGUACAUACCAACUACCCAACAGCAAGAAAUGACAAGUUCACAUAAGUGUAUCAUGUGCCAAUACUUUUUUCAGCCUUAGGCAGACUUGCCCGUACUUGACUGUAGCUCAGUUAAAAAUCAGCCAUUACUGCUUACGUAAACACACUGCACAUAAUAUGUGGCAGCACAAGCCUUUUGUGAAUUGUUCAGUUUUAUUUUUCCCCACUGCAGCCCACUGGUGUAUUUACUGGUGGAAUGAUUUUCACUGAUCUUUCAACUUGCCAAAUAUUUCCUAGGAGUUCUGAAUUAAUUAACAACGGGACGUUGUUUAAAAAAAAAAAAAAACUUAGGGGCUCACAUCUCUAUUAAAGGCCAGAUUUAAUGCCAGUUUGGCACCUUAACAAUACAGGCCUUUAAAUAGUAUUGCUACCAAAUGUAGUAUUCUAAUAAAAAAUGCAUUCUUUGUUGGACUGAAAUUCAGUCUUUAAGGAUGAAAACACAAAGGGAUGUCCUGUAUUAGGAAAAUAAUCAACUUCAGGGUGGUACGAUGGAGAGAUCAGAGUGCUGUUACCACCCUGAAGAUUAUUUCGCCAUAACGGCACAUCUUGAAGCACAAACUUCUCUGUCCUGAAGACUCUGCCAUGACAGAUAAAGUGAGUUCUGACACGGGAGACCAAUCAGAUUAGACAAUUCUAACAUUGUUGUAGUACAAAACAUAAUAAUAAACAAAAAACAAGCACUGCAGUCAGGCUUCCUAGAACAGUCGAAGCUCAGUGUUUAGGGUUAUUUGCUAUUUUAAGACUGUCCGAGAACUGCUGUUGGGUCCUUCACCAAGGCCUUUUACAUGCAACUAAUUAGAUACAUUUCCAAAAUCUUUUAUCCAAGUAAGCUAAGAGCAGGCGUAAUGGGUGAGUUUACAUUGCUGGCUAAGGUCAACUUGCUUAUGUUGUGCAGGCGCUGAGGCCAGCUGCAUAAAGUCAGUCUCAUACAGUGACUUGCAUAAGACCUAUGAGGCCAAAAUUGAACUUUGUGGCCUUGGGAUAAAGAACUGAGUUUGGCAGAAACCCUACUCUGCAUAUCACCUUGAGAACAUUAUCUUCCCCCAGCGAAGCAUGAUGGUGGGAGCAUCAUGUUGUGAGGAUGUCUUUCAUCAGCUGGGACUAGGAAACUGGUCAGGGUUGAAGGGAAGAUUGAUGGAGCCAAGUACAGGGCAAUCCUAGAAGAAAACCUGUUCCAGUCUGCCAGAAACAAGCUCGGUUCUGGAUCCUGGAUCCUGCCAAAGGGCAUGUCAAAGUCUAGCUGCUUUAGUGAAAACGCUGGCAGCACAGCAGUGGGUGUCUCACUUACUUCUUGGGCAAAGAAUGGCUUUUAUAGUGACCUUAGCCUUGAAUGAAGGGAUUUGUAAAGCCCUGAUUAGACAUCGUUCACUUGACCUCAUUAGGUAAAAGUGCACCAAAUGACCUUUAGUAUUAUUGGAAUUGCAAUGGCUCACUGCACAAACUACAGAUAGCUGGUCUUAGGUGUUAAUCUUUCUUUAAAGUUUCAG
This is a long non-coding RNA of Pangasianodon hypophthalmus (striped catfish), 4324 nucleotides long. RefSeq lists it as uncharacterized. The record is from RefSeq and is a predicted model, not a curated record. Lineage: Eukaryota; Metazoa; Chordata; Actinopteri; Siluriformes; Pangasiidae. The transcript has 5 exons.